This 253-nucleotide ribosomal RNA is filed under the name uncultured bacterium. RNAcentral's name for it is "partial 16S ribosomal RNA". It matches the Rfam family "Bacterial small subunit ribosomal RNA", at positions 524 to 776 of the family's 1533-position model. The record is from RNAcentral.
UACGUAGGGGGCAAGCGUUGUCCGGAAUCAUUGGGCGUAAAGCGCGUGUAGGCGGCUCGAUAAGUCUGCUGUGAAAGUCCAGGGCUCAACCCUGGGAUGCCGGUGGAUACUGCUGGGCUAGAGUACGGAAGAGGCGAGUGGAAUUCCCGGUGUAGCGGUGAAAUGCGCAGAUAUCGGGAGGAACACCUAUUGCGAAGGCAGCUCGCUGGGACGUUACUGACGCUGAGACGCGAAAGCGUGGGGAGCAAACAGG